CGAAAGUGCCUGGCUCCGCUUAACAAACCAGAUUUAAACCGACCCUGGAGUGACCGUUGGCACAGCAGGCGUAACCUACCUGUAGGGUUUAGCUCCUUCUACACUGCUUCAAAACGGCUUCCGAUCAGGAGCUUCUAUGAAAGCAACUACGUCUUGCAAAUGAAGCAGAAUCUCUGGCUUGGAGGGAACCUUGAUGAUGACGAAGAUGCCGCACGGACUGGCAAUAUCAAUGUUGAGAUAAACAAUAGAAUUGAAGAUAUGUCUGGUAAAGCAGCGCAACUGCAGCUGGAAUACAUGCCGGCAUGGGCGCUCCGGAGGAGGAGCAGCGAUAGUGCAACGAUUACUGAUUAGUAUUGUACGAGAGUGCCGUCAUACGGCCUGUCUCUCACAUAGUGUUCCUUAAAACUUCCGCAUUUCUCCGGUACCCUAGCAUCUACACUAGGGUUAGGCACUACUGGUAACGUGCGACCAUUGCCCCCGGGAGAUCCCGGGAUUGAGACCUGUCAGGGUCGAAAAUCCUUCCGAUGGUGAAAGGUAUUGCGCCCCUAGUUGGUGGACGGUGGUGACCUGGGAUAAACUUAAUCUACGAGCAGACCAGGGAUGGAUUUGGGCCGCUGUCGACCCGGAAGAUUCCGUUGGAUGCUGGUGGUGGGUGCGGGACCUGAGCGAUCCACCGAGUAAUGGACUAGGGUGACUAGAUGAGGGUGCCCCGAAAUACAGGGGAAGGCAGGGCUUCGCAGGGUAGCUGCCACGGGUGAUGAUAUAUCCCCCUGUUUCACACAUCUGCACCAGGCUGCGGUCUGCAUCGUUAUUAAUGGCAGCAAUCACACCCUCCGCACGUGAUGAGUGUGUUCCAAAGUGUGGUGAUAGCGAUGCCCCACAAAGAGCCUCUGCAAGUGGCCCAGGAACGUGCGGUAUGGCAGGGUGGGACGGGCAGAGGGUUGCAGAGAUGGGGGAUUGGGGGCAGGUACUGGUCAGGCGGGAUGGGGAAUAGGGUUGACGACGUCAGGAUGGGAUGUGGGGCCCAAGGCGAGGAUUAGGGAUUAGGCGUGCUACACUACUUUGGGGAUGGGGAUUGCUGUCGGGGGUGAGGAUGGGGAUGGGAUCCCUGUCUGAGGGAUGGGGAUUGCAACCUUGACCAUGGAGGGGAUUGGGAGCCCUGGCCAGGGAUGGGGAUGGGACCCUGGUCGACAGGAUGGGGAUUGCAGGCUUUCGCAAGUUUAGGAUGAGCUUGUUGAUGCGAAGGGUUGCCGUGUCGCCCUGUGGCCUGUUUGGGUAACUCGUCAGACUAUCGUGAGUGGCAGCUGAGACCGGUCUGAGGUCGCAUGUUAGACUUGGAGUGACAGCUUUGGACCUGUCUCGGGAGGCCCGUCGAUAUGGCUGUUAGGUUCUAGCGUACUGGUAACUCUCGUCCUUUGGGAUAGGCUUUCCCAGCCUUUAUAAGUCUCUACUGUUUAUCGGUAACAGUACCUCAGAUUCACACGUUUACGCCUAGGCAAAGGGGCUUUCGGUGGUAGGUCGCGGAUCUCCCGAACACGUGUAACGGCUAAUGUAUCCUUAGUCGUGUCUGCUAGGUCCCUGUGAGAUAGCGUCUCACCAACAGGUUAUGAGCCCCGGGUAACGGUUCCCGGCGGUUAAUAUCUGUAGUUGCUUUUAGCUUGAGCAGGGAGGCUCGCUAGGCAACCGACAUGGGAAAAGGGUGUAAGACCGUCCUCUUAGCGGACGGGUCUAACUACUCACAGUGGCUAGGAGACUUCGGUGACUUCCUUGCUACAUCCAAGCUGCGGAGCUAUAUGACCAACCCGUCGCCACCGGGACGCAAUGCGCAAGACGCUCUGGAGGAAGAUGCCCAGGCGCUUGGCUACCUGCGUCUUUCCUGCGAACUGCCAGUAAAGCAGUUGCUCAGGAACUGUCAGUCGACUCUCGCCGCCAUGCAGCUCUUACAGCUGCAGUUCCGUUCUGCCUCUCAGGCCCGGCUUAGCCUGCUAGAGCCGCAGAAGCAACUGCGCAUGGGUGACGACGAGACGACCGCUGACUUCAUUCAGCGGGCGGAGCAGCUCCGCAGCGACAUUAUCUCGGCGGGCGGCCAGUGGGACGAGGCUGCUAUGCGACAUGCUAUUCUCCACGGUCUGCCUCCACAAUACGCUAUCACAGUCGAGUUCGCAAUGUAUUUGCCUAACCUGACCACCCCGCAGCUCGUGUUCAUGCUGCGGGAGAAGGAGAACAAUUUGAAGGCUCAAGCAGUCAAGUCCGGCCUGGUUGGAGCUGUCGGCCCUGGUCGCACCGCCCGUGGAGUCCGCGGUGCUGCCGGCGCCUCGGGCGCCGCGGGGGCCAACGACACCUGCCGCUACUGUGGACAGCUUGGUCACUAUGUCCGUGAGUGCCCCGUCAAGCAGGCUGACGUGUCCGUAGGCCUCUACCGCAGCAAUGCGUUUGAGCAGCCACGCAGCAGUGGAGCCGGCAGCAGUGGCAGCGGCAACCGCCAUCGUGAUGGAGGCGGCGGAGGCACCAGCGGCGGCAAUAACAGCGGGGGCGACAGGACGCGCGAACGCGGCCGUGUUAGACGCGGCAACGGCCGCCGCAGUGGCAGCGACACUGCUGGCGGAAGCAGUGGCGGCGGCGGCGGCGGUGUAAGCUCACGCCAGAACCGUGCCACGGUGCUGGUCGUCGGUGGCAGCGGCAACAGUUCAGCAGUAGUCCUAGACUCUGGUUCACCUUAUCAUCUUACAGGUGACCGCUCACUGUUGCACAGUUACGUUCCCUCCGGCUCGCCCAAGCAGAUUAAGUGGGGAAAUAACCAGCUGGCCGACGUCAUGGGGACAGGGCAGCUACUCCUACGGACGCGCGGUGGAGAAACCGUCUUGCUAAGCAACGUACUCCAUGUCCCCAGCUCGGGACUGACGCUCAUGUCUGUCGACCUUCUCGUGACGCGCGGCUGCUCAGUCACGUUCGGCACGGACAAGGCGGGCCGCCGGUUCUCGCGAGUAGGUCUGCCGCACGGCGGUUCGUCUAUCACCGCGUGGAGUGAGAGUGGGCAUUACGUCAUGGACGUGGACCUGCUGGCGCCGACCAAACGCGCCGUCAGUGCGCUCGGUGCUGCGGAAGACAGAGCCGGCGGAGGUAGCGGCGCUGGCGGAAGCGCCGCCGGCGCCAGCAGCAGUGACGACGGCGGAGAUCAGCCAAACACCGGCGCCAGCAGCAGUGACACCGGCGGAGACCAGCCGAACGGCGCCGGCAGCAGUGACACCGGCGGAGACCAGUCGAACGGCGCCAGCAACGGCCAAAGGCAGCUGGGUGCCCUUGAGUACUCAGCCGCCGAACUCGCAGCAGCGCAGCGCAUGCACCGCCAGUUCGGCCACCUUGGUUACCGGGCGUUGGAGCAGCUUAUCACCAAGAAGCUGGUACAUGGACCACGGGUCACUCCCGCGGCGCUGCGUCAGGCGGCAAAGGGUGUCUGCGAAGCCUGUGUCACAGCGAAGACUACAGCUACAGCCCACGUUAGCCGCGGUAACCGGCCUCAGCGUGUCCUGGAGGUCGUACACUCUGACCUGUGCGGGCCUAUGCCGACCACGGGCCGAGGAGAGGCUCGCUAUGUGCUAACGCUGCUGGACGGUGCCUCCGGUCUGUCUGCCGUUCGCACACUGGUUAGCAAGAACCAAGUGGGCGAAGCGCUGCAGGACAUGGUGACGCAGCUGGAGGCUCGCAUCCCGAACGGUGCACGGGUCCGCACCCUUCAUAGUGAUAACGGUGGCGAGUAUGUCGCCGAGCAGCUGGCACAGUGGCUACGCCAGCGCGGCACUGCGCACACCCACUCGGCGCCGUACACUCCGGAGCAGAACGGCGCAGCGGAGCGGCUCAAUCGCACGCUCCUCGACCGUGUGCGGGCUAUGCUGUACGAUGCCGCGCUCCCGGACAGCUUUUGGUCGGAAGCUGUGCUAUACACCAACCUCCUGCGCAAUGUUUCCCCCUCUCAGGGCCGGGAGGCCACACCGUGGGCAACUUAUCAUGGCGUCACCCCCGACGUCAGCCACCUGCACACCUUCGGCUGCCUGGCAUACGUCCGCAUCCCAAUCAGCCAGCAGGAUAAGCUCGGUCCCCGCGCAAAGGCGGGAACCUACCUUGGACCGGAGCGCGGCACGGCCGCCCACCGCGUCCUCGUCGACGGUAAGGUGACUGUUAGCAGCGACGUCACCUUCGACGACGACCUCCGCGGCCUGGCGUCUCAACGGGCGGGCACCCCCUUCGGCGCUAGCCCCGCCCGUCCUGGCAGCGGCGACCCCGUCGGCGGCUCUACACAGCCCGCCACACCGCCGCCUCCAGUGGAUGCACCGCCUCCAGUGGACCCAGCACCCCCCCUCCGCCCCAACACACGCAGCCAACGGCAACCUCUUCACCCGCCGCUGGCCACAGUCUGCCCAGCCAACAACAGCAGCGGCGGCGGCGGAGAUUUGGGUAGUCCACCGCUGCUUAACAAAGCGUCGGGAAGCGAUUAUGCUGAGGCAGGCGACGGCAAUGCGGGCGGCGGAGGCAACAGCGCGGUGCAGGAGCCGCGCAGUUAUGAGGAAGCGGUGGCGAGUCCACAAGCGGACAAGUGGAGAACUUCGAUGGAUGACGAGAUUCUGUCGCAGCUCUCCAAUAAGACCUGGGAGUUGGGCACGCCGCCACCCGGUGCACGCAUCCUGGACUGCCGCUGGGUCUACAAAAUCAAACAGGAGCCAGGAGGUGAGGUACGCUACAAGUCGCGUUUGGUGGUGAAAGGUUUUGAACAGCGAGCGGGUAUAGACUAUGGAGAGCUGUUUGCGCCCACUACGCGUGCAGCCUCCCUGCGGGCACUUCUAGCUGUGGCAGCAGCCAGAGGUAUGACGGUCCACCAGAUGGACGUCAAAACGGCCUUCUUGAACGGUGACCUGACAGAGGAGCUGUGGAUGCGACAGCCCCCAGGCUAUAGCAACGGCGACCCGACACAGGCGUGCCGGCUGUUAAAGUCUGUUUACGGCCUCAAGCAAGCCCCACGUUGCUGGUACGAGAAGCUGGCGGCGGAGCUGGGCAAGCUAGGCUAUGAACCGUCUACGUCCGACCCCGCGCUAUUCGUCAAGCGGGGGUCCGAUGGCUCAAUCGAUGUGCUCGUGCACGUUGAUGACAUGCUGGUGGCGGCGGACAACCCGCAGUUGGUUGCGGCCGCCAAGGCGGCCAUAGCUGGUUGCUUCGCUGUACGAGACCUUGGAGAGGCGCGCUACUACCUCGGCAUGGAGAUCGUCCAGGACCGCCGCAACCGCAGCAUCAUGCUCACACAGCAGCGUUACGUGGAGCAGCUGCUUCAGCGCCACAGCCUGGAGAACGCCAAGCCACGUGCCACCCCGCUACCCCAGAAUACGCGGGUUCUGCCAGCCAGUGACACCCAGCCGAUACUGACGGACAGCAGUGGCUACCGCGCGCUGGUGGGAGAACUAAACUACCUCGCUACCAGCACACGCCCAGACAUCGCACACGCUCUGAGCAUGCUGGCACGGCACAUGUCCGCCCCCACCAAAGCGCACAUGGGGCUCGCUCUGGGUGUGCUGCGUUACGUCUCUGGCACUCGGGCGCUUGGUCUGCGUUACUGCGGCGACGCCAGCCACUUCUGUGGGUACAGCGACGCAGACUGGGCCGGCGACCCAGCCACCCGCAGGUCCACCACGGGCUACGCUUUUCUGCUCGGUAGCGCGGCGGUCAGCUGGAGCAGUCAGUUGCAGCGCACCGUGGCGGCCUCGUCCGUGGAAGCCGAAUACCAGGCCGCAGCAGCAGCUGUGCGCGAGGCGUUGUGGCUACGCAAGCUGGCGAGCGAUCUGGACCUAUCCCCGGGUGCUGUCAACGUCCAGCUGGAUUCGCAAGGCGCGCUCAGCCUCGGCAACAACCCCAUCACGUCGGUGCGCUCCAAGCACAUCGACGUGCACCACCACAUCGUGCGCGAGAGGGUCGCGCGUGGUGAGGUGAAGCUCAGCUAUUGCACCACCGACGACAUGGUGGCUGACAUCCUAACCAAGGCACUGGGCGAUGUCAAGUUCGUGCGCUGCCGCACAGCGCUGGGCGUUACUUAGAUCGCCAGAGGAGGAGUGCUGAGGGCUUUGAGGGAUUGUUUUGAGCUAGGCUUUAGGGGGGUGCUGAGGGUGCGUGAGCAGGCGCCCGAAUGGGCAGGUUAAUGCCCGAAGGGGCGCCGUAGGCAGUGCGUAUGGUGCUGUACGGCACUGUUUUCUCUGUGUGUUUGUGCAGCAGCAUCAGACCGCAUAGCCAUCAGGCUGAAGGCUGGCAAGCUGCGUUUGUAUCUGCUGAGUGUUGAGCAGUCGGCCUGGACCGCGGACUUGUCGGCCGAUCUAGCUAGUCAGUACUAGCAAUUUGUAGUAAGGCCCCUAGUGCGACACGAGGGGGCGUGUUGAUGCGAAGGGUUGCCGUGUCGCCCUGUGGCCUGUUUGGGUAACUCGUCAGACUAUCGUGAGUGGCAGCUGAGACCGGUCUGAGGUCGCAUGUUAGACUUGGAGUGACAGCUUUGGACCUGUCUCGGGAGGCCCGUCGAUAUGGCUGUUAGGUUCUAGCGUACUGGUAACUCUCGUCCUUUGGGAUAGGCUUUCCCAGCCUUUAUAAGUCUCUACUGUUUAUCGGUAACAGUACCUCAGAUUCACACGUUUACGCCUAGGCAAAGGGGCUUUCGGUGGUAGGUCGCGGAUCUCCCGAACACGUGUAACGGCUAAUGUAUCCUUAGUCGUGUCUGCUAGGUCCCUGUGAGAUAGCGUCUCACCAACAGAGCUCGCUGCCAUAGGAUUGGGAACACAGUUGGAGGAUUAGAAUUGGGUGUUCUGCUGUAAAAUGAGGCUGCAGGUGCAGAACUGGGAAUACUGACAGGACUGCAAAACAGGCCAAGGAUGGAUGGUUUAGUUGUC
This 6914-nucleotide long non-coding RNA is filed under the name Volvox carteri. Its description in RNAcentral is "long non-coding RNA (VCAR_LNC003343)". Lineage: Eukaryota; Viridiplantae; Chlorophyta; Chlorophyceae; Chlamydomonadales; Volvocaceae. The record is from RNAcentral.